GUUUUAAUAGUUUAAAUUAAAAACAAUGAUCUUGUAAAUCAUAGAUAGGAUUACCUUUAAAACU
RNAcentral lists this transfer RNA (64 nucleotides) under Chorosoma macilentum. RNAcentral describes it as "tRNA-Thr". It matches the Rfam family "tRNA". From Rfam's summary of the family: Transfer RNA (tRNA) molecules are approximately 80 nucleotides in length. Their secondary structure includes four short double-helical elements and three loops (D, anti-codon, and T loops). The record is from RNAcentral. RNAcentral also lists the same sequence under 1 other name. Lineage: Eukaryota; Metazoa; Arthropoda; Insecta; Hemiptera; Rhopalidae.